Small nucleolar RNA from Pygocentrus nattereri (red-bellied piranha), 96 nucleotides. Ensembl annotates it as Small nucleolar RNA U13. NCBI's taxonomy places the organism in Eukaryota, Metazoa, Chordata, Actinopteri, Characiformes, Serrasalmidae. The record is from Ensembl.
AUCUUUUCUGGUCGUGAAAAUGAUGAUUGGUUUAUUCACAGUCUCUGUGAGAUGCGCGGCCUCUCCUGUUACGCAAAGCGCACAAACUGUCUGACC